GUGCUCGCUUUGGCAGCACAUAUACUAAAAUUAGAACGAUACAGAGAUUAGCAUGGCCCCUCCAUAAGGAUGACAUGCAAAUUUGUGAAACAUUCUAUGUUUAA
Pipistrellus kuhlii (Kuhl's pipistrelle) is the source of this 104-nucleotide small nuclear RNA. The record is from RefSeq and is a predicted model, not a curated record. NCBI's taxonomy places the organism in Eukaryota, Metazoa, Chordata, Mammalia, Chiroptera, Vespertilionidae.